RNAcentral lists this ribosomal RNA (253 nucleotides) under uncultured bacterium. RNAcentral describes it as "partial 16S ribosomal RNA". It matches the Rfam family "Bacterial small subunit ribosomal RNA", at positions 524 to 776 of the family's 1533-position model. The record is from RNAcentral.
UACGAAGGGGGCUAGCGUUGCUCGGAAUUACUGGGCGUAAAGCGCACGUAGGCGGUUUCUUAAGUCGGGGGUGAAAUCCUGGAGCUCAACUCCAGAACUGCCUUCGAUACUGAGAGUCUCGAGUCCGAGAGAGGUGAGUGGAACUGCGAGUGUAGAGGUGAAAUUCGUAGAUAUUCGCAAGAACACCAGUGGCGAAGGCGGCUCACUGGCUCGGUACUGACGCUGAGGUGCGAAAGCGUGGGGAGCAAACAGG